GCUGGGUGUGGUGGUGCACACCUGUAAUCCCAGUGGCUCAGGAGGCUGAGACAGGAGGAUCUCAAGUUCAAAGCCAGCCUCAGCAAAAGUGAGGCACUAAGCAACUCAGUGAGACCCUAUCUGUA
This 125-nucleotide small RNA is filed under the name Marmota monax (woodchuck). The record is from RNAcentral. Lineage: Eukaryota; Metazoa; Chordata; Mammalia; Rodentia; Sciuridae.